RNAcentral lists this ribosomal RNA (396 nucleotides) under uncultured bacterium. RNAcentral describes it as "partial 16S ribosomal RNA". It matches the Rfam family "Bacterial small subunit ribosomal RNA", at positions 523 to 918 of the family's 1533-position model. The record is from RNAcentral.
AUACGUAGGGAGCGAGCGUUGUCCGGAAUUACUGGGUGUAAAGGGUGCGUAGGCGGGACGGCAAGUCAGAUGUGAAAUACCGGGGCUCAACCCCGGGGCUGCAUUUGAAACGGUCGUUCUUGAGUGAGGUAGAGGUAAGCGGAAUUCCUAGUGUAGCGGUGAAAUGCGUAGAUAUUAGGAGGAACAUCGGUGGCGAAGGCGGCUUACUGGGCCUUUACUGACGCUGAGGCACGAAAGCGUGGGGAGCAAACAGGAUUAGAUACCCUGGUAGUCCACGCUGUAAACGAUGAUGACUAGGUGUGGGGGGACUGAACCCUUCCGUGCCGCAGUUAACACAAUAAGUCAUCCACCUGGGGAGUACGGCCGCAAGGUUGAAACUCAAAUGAAUUGACGGGG